RNAcentral lists this ribosomal RNA (253 nucleotides) under uncultured bacterium. RNAcentral's name for it is "partial 16S ribosomal RNA". It matches the Rfam family "Bacterial small subunit ribosomal RNA", at positions 524 to 776 of the family's 1533-position model. The record is from RNAcentral.
UACGGGGGGGGCAAGCGUUGUUCGGAGUUACUGGGCGUAAAGGGCUCGUAGGCGGCCAACUAAGUCAGACGUGAAAUCCCUCGGCUUAACCGGGGAACUGCAUCUGAUACUGGAUGGCUUGAGAUUGGGAGAGGGAUGCGGAAUUCCAGGUGUAGCGGUGAAAUGCGUAGAUAUCUGGAGGAACACCGGUGGCGAAGGCGGCAUCCUGGACCAAUACUGACGCUGAGGAGCGAAAGCCAGGGGAGCAAACGGG